AGCCACAAAAAGAAUUGUAUGGUUGGG
Molecule: non-coding RNA, 27 nt
Filed under: Rattus norvegicus (Norway rat)
Lineage: Eukaryota; Metazoa; Chordata; Mammalia; Rodentia; Muridae
Source: RNAcentral